This 611-nucleotide ribosomal RNA is filed under the name uncultured bacterium. RNAcentral's name for it is "bacterial SSU rRNA". It matches the Rfam family "Bacterial small subunit ribosomal RNA", at positions 338 to 944 of the family's 1533-position model. The record is from RNAcentral.
CCUACGGGAGGCAGCAGUGGGGAAUUUUGGACAAUGGGGGCAACCCUGAUCCAGCCAUUCCGCGUGAGUGAAGAAGGCCUUCGGGUUGUAAAGCUCUUUCGCAAGGGAAGAAAACUUAUGAUCGAAUAAAUCAUGAGGUUGACGGUACCUUGAUAAGAAGCACCGGCUAACUACGUGCCAGCAGCCGCGGUAAUACGUAGGGUGCGAGCGUUAAUCGGAAUUACUGGGCGUAAAGCGUGCGCAGGCGGUUUUGUAAGUCGGAUGUGAAAUCCCCGGGCUCAACCUGGGAACUGCGUUCGAAACUGCAAGGCUAGAGUGUGUCAGAGGGGGGUAGAAUUCCACGUGUAGCAGUGAAAUGCGUAGAGAUGUGGAGGAAUACCAAUGGCGAAGGCAGCCCCCUGGGAUAACACUGACGCUCAUGCACGAAAGCGUGGGGAGCAAACAGGAUUAGAUACCCUGGUAGUCCACGCCCUAAACGAUGUCAACUAGUUGUUGGUAGAGUAAAAUCUAUGAGUAACGUAGCUAACGCGUGAAGUUGACCGCCUGGGGAGUACGGUGCAAGNUUAAAACNGAAAGAUUGACGNNGAGNGNGCGAGCGACGACGAGGAGAG